This 460-nucleotide ribosomal RNA is filed under the name uncultured bacterium. RNAcentral's name for it is "partial 16S ribosomal RNA". It matches the Rfam family "Bacterial small subunit ribosomal RNA", at positions 338 to 795 of the family's 1533-position model. The record is from RNAcentral.
CCUACGGGAGGCAGCAGUGAGGAAUAUUGGUCAAUGGGCUUACGCCUGAACCAGCCAAGUCGCGUGAGGGAAGACUGCCCUCUGGGUUUUAACCCUCUUUUGUCAGGGAGCAACGCCGGCUACGUGUAGCCGGACUGAGAGUACCUGAAGAAAAAGCAUCGGCUAACUCCUUGCCAGCAGCCGCGGUAAUUCUGAGGAUGCGUGCGUUAUCCGAAUGUAAUGGGGUUAAAGGGUGCGUAGGCGGAAGGCCAAGUCAGCGGUAAACUCGCGGGGCUCAACCUCGCUCCGCCGUUGAAACUGGCGUUCUUGAGUGGGCGAGAGGUAUGCGGAAUUCGUGGUGUAGCGGUGAAAUGCAUAGAUAUCAGGCAGAACUCCGGUUGCGAAGGCAGCAUACCGGCGCCCAACUGACGCUGAAGAACGAAAGCGUGGGUAGCGAACAGGAUUAGAUACCCCAGUAGUC